GGCGCUUCGGGAGGGGCCUGCGUCCGAUUAGCUCGUUGGUGAGGUAAAGGCUCACCAAGGCGACGAUCCUUAGCUGGUCUGAGAGGAUGAUCAGCCACACUGGGACUGAGACACGGCCCAGACUCCUACGGGAGGCAGCAGUGGGGAAUAUUGCGCAAUGGGCGGAAGCCUGACGCAGCGACGCCGCGUGGGGGAUGACGGCCUUCGGAUUGUAAACUCCUGUUGAUCGGGACGAACAACCAUCGGGAUAACACCCCGGAGGUCUGACGGUACCGAUCGAGGAAGCCCCGGCUAACUCUGUGCCAGCAGCCGCGGUAAUACAGAGGGGGCAAGCGUUGUUCGGAAUUACUGGGCGUAAAGGGCGCGUAGGCGGCCGCCUAAGUCAGACGUGAAAUCCCUCGGCUCAACCGGGGAACUGCGUCUGAUACUGGGUGGCUUGAAUCCGGGAGAGGGAUGCGGAAUUCCAGGUGUAGCGGUGAAAUGCGUAGAUAUCUGGAGGAACACCGGUGGCGAAGGCGGCAUCCUGGACCGGCAUUGACGCUGAGGCGCGAAAGCCAGGGGAGCAAACGGGAUUAGAUACCCCGGUAGUCCACGCCGUAAACGAUGA
This 607-nucleotide ribosomal RNA is filed under the name uncultured bacterium. RNAcentral describes it as "bacterial SSU rRNA". It matches the Rfam family "Bacterial small subunit ribosomal RNA", at positions 214 to 812 of the family's 1533-position model. The record is from RNAcentral.